RNAcentral lists this long non-coding RNA (244 nucleotides) under Setaria italica (foxtail millet). RNAcentral's name for it is "long non-coding RNA (SITA_LNC001622)". Lineage: Eukaryota; Viridiplantae; Streptophyta; Magnoliopsida; Poales; Poaceae. The record is from RNAcentral.
ACCCCACCAUGCGAUGAUCCAGGAGUAAAAACUAAAAAAGGAGACGUAUAAACAAGGUCACCGAGUGCAAAAGGUACGGUCAAAAAGAAAAGGAGAUGGUGGGGGAUAACAUUGAGACAGAUAAGAAAAAUCAUACCACUGGAAAAGAGGAGAUGAUGAUGCUAAAGAUUACGGCGUGAUUAGGACGUUGGCGCUUUUUUAAUCGUGUGUACGCGGGGAAAUCUCUCUAGCGGGUGAUGUGCUG